Molecule: ribosomal RNA, 495 nt
Filed under: uncultured bacterium
Lineage: Bacteria
Description: partial 16S ribosomal RNA
Rfam family: Bacterial small subunit ribosomal RNA
Source: RNAcentral
GAUGAACGCUAGCGGGAGGCCUAACACAUGCAAGCCGAGCGGUAUUGUUUCUUCGGAAAUGAGAGAGCGGCGUACGGGUGCGUAACACGUGUGCAACCUGCCUUUAUCUGGGGGAUAGCCUUUCGAAAAGAAGAUUAAUACUCCAUAACAUAUUGAACGGCAUCGUUUAAUAUUGAAAGCUCCGGCGGAUAGAGAUGGGCACGCGCAAGAUUAGCUAGUUGGUGAGGUAACGGCUCACCAAGGCGAUGAUCUUUAGGGGGCCUGAGAGGGUGAUCCCCCACACUGGUACUGAGACACGGACCAGACUCCUACGGGAGGCAGCAGUGAGGAAUAUUGGUCAAUGGGUGCAAGCCUGAACCAGCCAUCCCGCGUGAAGGACGACUGCCCUAUGGGUUGUAAACUUCUUUUGUAUAGGGAUAAACCUACCCUCGUGAGGGUAGCUGAAGGUACUAUACGAAUAAGCACCGGCUAACUCCGUGCCAGCCGCCGCCGUAA